Molecule: non-coding RNA, 8601 nt
Organism: Rattus norvegicus (Norway rat)
Lineage: Eukaryota; Metazoa; Chordata; Mammalia; Rodentia; Muridae
Source: RefSeq, a predicted model, not a curated record
UCUGCAGGAACAAAGAGAGGAGGUACUGUGAGGUGGAGGAGUCUUGGAUCCCACUUGAUCUGGUUCUAGCUGCUACUCCCUGAGUGUGGGUCCCAUCUAAUCAGUGGCUUAACACAUGGCUCUUAGGAUGAUCUUGUGUAGGUCUUAGAGACAGAUACUUUCUGAGAGGGGGUGCCUCCUCUUCUUUUCUCUAAAAUGAAAACAUCUAUAAAACAUUUGAAGGGGCUGGGGAUUUAGCUCAGUGGUAGAGCGCUUACCUAGGAAGCGCAAGGCCCUGGGUUCGGUCCCCAGCUCCGAAAAAAAAAAAAAAAAGAACCAAAAAAAAAAAAAAUUGAAAAAAUGUACCAUGCCGUAAAUUCUUGAACAACCGAUACAGGCUGGACACCCUACUUGGAGAAACUAAACUCUUAACAUCAAUAUGCUUGUGAUCUUAGCACUCCGGAGGUCAAGGAAGGAGGAUAUCAAGUUUGAGGCCAGCCUGGGAUAUGUAGUCAGACCUAAAAGAAUAAAAAAAAAUAAAAUCCAAAAUGCUCCCAUAAAGAAACAUUUUGAGACCUAUAACAUCUCAAGUGGAAAGACUACACACCAUAAAACUUUACUUCAUGUAUAAAAUAUUCAAAUAGUGUAUAAAAUUAACUUUUAGGCUAUGUGUAUAAGGUAUAUCAUAUAAGAAAAUUUAUGUUUAUAUGUGUCUAUCUAAAACAUAUUAGUAUAUUUACAUAUAUAUUAUAUAUGUGAUUAUAUUCUUAUUCUAUAUUAUAUUCUCUAUGUAACAUACAUAUACUAUAGAAUAUAUAUUAUAGAAUUAAUUCUAUAAGAUAUAUUGCAUAUAUGUGGAAAUAUUCUUAAACUGGAAUAUAUUCCUAACUUGAAAAACUUUUUAUUUAUUUUUUGACUCCUUUUGGGCUAUAUAAUCUCCUUUGUCAGGCUGGCUGGAUGUGGGAUCACUAGGAGACAGGUCUGGGAGUGUUUCUUUGGAGGCUUAAGUGAGCAGGGAAGACCCAUCUCCGACAUGGGCGGUGUCCUCCCAGGCUGAAGGAAAGGGAAAGAGAGAGAGUGAGCUGAGCACCAACACCCUGCUCUUCCUGCUCUCCAACAGUGGACAGAGGGCUAAACAAACCCAUCCUCCCUCUCUUAGGUUUGGUUUUGUUUGGCAGUCUGUCACAACAAUGACAGACACAAUACGCACUCCUACUUCAAACAGAGUAAGUAGUGUUGACAGAUAAACACGAGGGGAAUGCUUUUUUUUUUUUUAAAUUUUGAGGUAGGGUAUUUGUAGCCGAGGCUAGCCCUGUCCACCUGCCUCAGCCUUUCCAGUGCUCGGGUUAUAAGUUGAGUCCAGGAAUGGGGCCACCAUCUCCCAGCAUUCCCUGCUGCAGCAGCCCUGGCUUCACCCUCAGGGAGCUCAUUCUUCUGAACUUCUGAACUGCUCUCACGAACCAGGGCUGGCUUCCCAGUUCCAGAACAUUCUAUCCUGGAUUGAAGGACUCUGUUGCUCUUACCACACUUUCCCUCAGAUCCAGCAGGGGCAUCCAGGACGUAAGUAGCCACUGCUGCCCCAGCAUCAUUAGAGAACAUUCUGGACCAGUUCGCUGCAAGCCCAGUCGAGGGCAGCCUGUCUCUUUCCAUCAUAGACCCUGCCAGUUUACCUAAGCCUGCAUGAGGUCUGUCUGUUCAGAGGUCCUCCCAGAAGGACCUGGGUCCUGAGCCAUAGCUGGCAGUGUGCAUGUGUGCCCAUAUGUGUAUGUGUGCAUGUCUCUGUGCCUGUGCAUUUCUGUGUGUGUGUGUGUGUAUGUGUGCAUGUGCACAUGCAUGUGUGUAUGUGCACAUGCAUGUGUGCCCACAAGCAUGUGCCUGAACAUGUGGACGUGUCUGGGUCUCUUCCUCCAUUGCUCUCCACCUCAUUUUUUAAGACAGGGUCUGUCAUCAAAUCUUGAGCUCGGAAAUUGGCUAGACUGGCUGGCCAUCUCCACCCGCCUUCACCUCCCGGUACUGGGGUCACAGAUUUUUCCUUAGCUCUUAUGUGGAGGCUGGGGAUGAGAACUCGUGUCCUCAUGCUUGGGAGACAAGCACUUUACCUAGUGCUUUACCACUUUCUCACCUCAUCAUCAGUACUUUGAGUAUCUACUUGAUUACUACCUACGUUAUUUUAAUUUUUAAAAAUUGCCUUUAUUUUAUGUGCGUUGGUGUUUUGCCUGCAUGUAUAUGUCUAUAUGAGAGUGUCGGAUCUGGAGUUACAGACAGUUAUGAGCUGCCAGGUGGAUCCUGGGUUUCGAACCCCAGUCCUCUGGAAGGGCAGUCAGUGCCCUUAACCACUGAGCCAUCUCUCCAGCCCUCUAUUUUUUAAUUUUUUGAGACAGAGUCUCACUUUGUAGCCCAAGCUGAUCUGGCACUCAUAAUCCCCUGCCUCAGCCUCUUUCCUUGUGCCAGCACAUCCUGUUUCCCAACUGUCUUUUUGUUUAAUCUCCCAGCACUCUCCCUUCUCUGAGGCUGUGAAAUCCUUAAGGGUUCACGUGUCUUUGUACCUUUAUAAAUUGGCACUUAAGCUCAGACACCUUCGAGGUGUGUGUUAAAUCAAGGAGCUCGAACAUUGCCCUGUGUUUCUCAUAGCAUUAUCGUGCAGCUCAAUGCGGACCUCAGUGCUUCGUUCCUUGGGAUGUAGUGGGGCUCAGAUCCUCGUGUGACUAAUGUAACAACAAGGCCUCCCCCACAGCAGCUGACAGUCCUGUGUCAUACAACCUGACUGUAUGUAACAAUGACAGGGGGUAAGGACAUCUUCUCCCAUUUGACAGAUAAGACAAGGCUCAGCGAGCUUAACUCAUCUUGCCAAGGUCACGGUGUCAUUGCUAACAGUGCUGGUAUUUUCUGCUGAGUUACCUGACUUUUUUUUUUUUUCUUUUUUUUCGGAGCUGGGGACCGAACCCAGGGCCUUGCGCUUGCUAGGCAAGCGCUCUACCACUGAGCUAAAUCCCCAACCCCGAGUUACCUGACUCUUGGCAUUGGGUUUCCCCGGGGUACCCAGGAAAGUGCUGGGGUGCAACUUAUGCUCGCUAAUCGUUUAUGGAGACUCCUGCUGCUGCCUUCUAGAGGCUGAGGUCUCCUGCCUGCUGUUUAUACCCACUCCCCCUUCACUGUACCCCACACAAACAAAGGAUGGGGACACUGAGACCAAGCCAGAAGCUGCUAGAAUGCCCCUCAGUGGCCUCUGUCCUCAGAGUCAGCAGAUGUGGGAGCCAGUUCGCAGCUCUGUCAGUCCCAGAGCCAAUCCUUCCCUUACUCGCUCUGCCUGAGAGGUCAAUGGUUUGAAGAAAUUGGUAUGUCUAGAUUAGUAUCUGUAGCAUGAAGCACAGCAAUGCACGGGUAUUUUGUCCACUUUCCAACAGGUUUAAGGGUUGUCCUAGCAUCCUCAGGGUUCACUCCCCCUCUUACCCACUGUCUGGUCCUCCCUAGAAUUGCUGACUUUUGGCCCUUCUUGGUCUGUCACGGAAUGCUGGCUCAGUCCUUCCUCCGUUCCACCUGUGUGCACCAAGUCACAACCCCCAAACUUGGAAGGGUAGCAGCUCAUGCUGGGCCUCCCAGGAAACACUGGAAAAGCAACAGGCUGAGGUCCCGGGCCAACAUUCCAUAGCCUGGCACCAGAUUGGCUGACUUUGGUGGAAUAAGCAGGCACAGGCCUUGGUGAAGAGAUGAAUGCAGAGGCUUCUGGGCCAACUCAACAGCCGGCACUGGAGGUCCAGGGAGGGACCAUCUGGAGUAGGGGGAGAGCCAGCACCACCUGCAGUGCGGGCGGGUGGGGGACAUGGUGCAUCCGAGUUUGCUAGAUACUUAGCUAAGGUGGCCCGUGAUGGUUGGUGUAAGAUUAGGGUAAUGGUGGGUGGUGGCUUCCAGGACCUCCAGAAUAAUUAACUCUUUGUUACUGGGGUGACCCAGCCACCCUGAGGAAUGUGCAACCUGUGGUGGGGGUGGUUCAAUUCUCAAAGUAUUGUGGGGAAAUGGCUCACGAGUGCGUACACACACACACACACACACACACACACACACACACACACACACACAGAGUCAACUACUGAUAAGUUCCCCUAUUUCUGACCUUAAUCCUUAUUUGACUUAUCUUUCUCAACUUCUAUCUCCUAGGCACAGAUCCUUAGAACACAAAGAGCAGGCCCAUAGCUCUUGGCUGACUUGGGCUCCUCUGAUUAGCCUGGAAACCCAGCAACAGAGUGAGCUGGGGCUUGCAGAGUAAUGGAGCCGGAGCCGGGAAGCAGGUGCAGGGCCGAUAGUGAAACAAGAGUGGAGAGCAGCCCCUUCAGGAGCGACUUAUCAGCUGCUCAGGGCCUGAUGGCUUUGGAAGUCCUUGUGAUUCGAUUUCAGGCUUGACAGGAGAGGUCGGUAGGAUGACAAAGUGAGUCAUAAGUAGGACAUGGGCAUUUAGCUAGCGUGAGCCAAAUCUUACUUUUCUAGCUUCAUGCUCUUCACGGGCGUGCGUGCGUGAAUGAGCGCGCAAGUGUGUGUUUGCAUAAGAGUGUGUGUUUGUCUCUGUGUGUGUGUGCACACGUGUCCAUGCAUGGGUGUGUGCACUUGUGUGUGGAGGUCAGAGGGGGACGUUGAGUGUCUUUGUUAAUUGCUUUCUACCGUAUUUCUUGAGACAGAGUCUCACUGAAACUAGAGCUUGCCAAUUCUAGCCAGCAAACUCUAGGGGCCCGCCCAGUGCUGAUAUUAUAGAUGUGUGCCACCAUGUAUGACUUUUUUAUGGGGUGUUGGGGAUCUGCAGUCGGGUCCUCAUGCCUGCACACUUGACUACCUGGCCCUUUCUCUGGCUUCUUGAACAAUUGAGCCUUAGUUGGUUUGUACAAGGUGCUGACAACUGUUGUUUGGGGGCCUGCUGGGAAUUCUUAAACAAGAGUCUAGCUCUAAGGAGAGAGCCCUAUCCUCUACUCCCUAAUUCUAGUUUCACUUACAAUAACACACAUACCUUCAUGGAUGGAGGAUAGAAACAAGCCCGAGGGUAAGGAGAGGAGAAGGGCAGGGUGUGGGCCAUGGAGGAAGAUAGCCCAGGCUGGGCAGGGCGUACCUGAAGGCCUGGCCUCUAUUACAUAGCGUGUGAUGGGUCCUUUGCCAGGAUCUCCGCUGGACCAGUGGAUGGCAAUGGCCGAGCUGUACCGAACAAUGAUUGGUACUCCUGGUGGUCCUGGUGCACCUGCAAACACCCCAUAGUGUAUAAGGGCACCUGUGGAACCAAGAAUGGCCUCCCUUUACAACAACCUGUGCUGGUGGUAGGAGGGGCUGGGCAACCAGAUCAACUCUAGAUGUAGAGCCUCCAGGACUUCUUGCAAAUACUAGGUCUGAAGAGUCUCUCUUGGGCCAGGCCUGCCAGGAUGUGACCACUGUCUCUUCCUGUUACUCCCACACCCCACAUUCCGAAUCCCAGGGCAAGGCAUGGUGGGGUCGAUGAUCCUGGGGUGAGCUCUAGAGCAGAGUCAGAGGACAAAGGCAUGUAAGACUCGCCAGAACUUAUUACGUGAUCCACUUGCGGAACCCUUCAGGGGUGCCUCAGUUUACCAAUCUGUAAGGGCCUUGUGGAAGGAAGUCUUGAAAGGAGAUACCACGGUGGGCAGCAGAGGUGUUCAGACUGAUAGGAAUGAGGUCUGUCUGAGGGAGCGAAGGCCCCUUUAACAUUUCCUUGCCUGGCAAGGGAAAGAUAAUGCCCAUCGUCUCCGUCUUGUCUCUUACUUGAAAUCUGCUACCCCCACGUGCAUGUUAGGCUAGGUGUGGAGAGAGCAGGCUCCGUCCCUAGGAAGGAGAACUUGGCAGAAGGUGUGUCUUGCAGACUGAGAUAUCGGAGAGGGAGGGUAGAAUAGCAGACGGGAGGAAGCUUGUGUUGGCAGAGGACUGGGCCAGGUAUCUGUCUGUGCAGCAUCCCAAACACCUCCUGGAGACUCCUGCCAUGUGUGGUCCCAACCAAGGUUGUCUCCCAGUAGACACGAUAUUAACCAUCCCCGGAGCCUAGCACACGGUAGAUGCUUCCUGUCUGCUCGUGGUACCAGGGGUUGAGGCAGCAGGGCCUGCAUGUGUGCAGGCUGAUUGAUGGCCUCCGGCUGCCAGAUAGGAAGAGAACACAACUCCGGACAUCUCACCAAAGCCCUCUGGGACCCGGGGAGCUGUUCAACUCAGGCAGGAGGCUGGAGACUUUCCGCACAGCUGGAUACCUCAUUGCCAGGCCCCAAUAUCCAUUCCUGAUGUCAGUUUUGGAGAGACUCAGUUUCCCUGUCUUUCCCUUCUCUAAGGAGGAUCCUGCCUGCAGCCCAUGAAGGGGAGACAGGAGCUGACAGUGCGGUGCAGCGUGGACUCCCUGCUUUUCACUCUGUAUAGAGCACUGCUCAGGGCAGAGAAAAAGGCUGCCACUGGCUUUUCUGGUGAGCCGAGGACAGCUGGGCUGGUGCUGUCCCUUAUAGAUCCCUCCUGGUUAGAUUGGUUUUCUUUCUUGGUACCCUCCACCCCUCCUCCAUUUCUUGACCAACAUCUUCCCUAUCUCAUGCCACAAACUCCAAGCUGGGACUCUUUAAACCCUAAGUUGGAACUGGCUGUGCUUGGGUGGCCUGCCAUUCGCCGUCUCCUAGUUUUUAAAUCCCAGGAAGUCUCAGAAGAAAAGCAGAGCUGGGACAGCAGCCUUUCAUGGCCCUGCACAUCACGUCCUUACUGAACGAGACACAGGGGUGACAAUCCCACAAGCAGGUUGAAGGCAAGAGGACCUGGGCUCUCCAGCUCUUUCCUUCUUCUAAGCCCAUACUCUGGAGAAAGUUCACUGUCUGCUGAUGGCCCUGGGACACAGAGGGGAAGGAGGUGACCUUCGGGAGGAAGUUGGGCUGGGCCUGGCUGGAUUCUUCCUCAAGAGAGGGUACGGGCAGCAGGGUUGCUUAGGAAUUGGUUUUUACGUUCAGCAUGGGAAAACCUGAUCCCAUGUCAGGGCCAGUGGAGACUAAACCCUGAUCAACCCACCAGGGUGCUGGGUGGAGAGUGGGAAGUGACAGAGACCAGGGGCAGUGACAGAGAGGAUUAGGGUGGGACCCCAAGGGUGGAAUACUGACUGGCCUUCUAGAUGUAAAAGCAGCUGGGAAAGCUAGUGACACACAUCUCUGGGAGGCAAAGAGGCACAGGCAGGUGGAUCUCUGAGGGUUCAAGGUCAGCUUGGUCUACAGAGUAAGUUCUAGGGCAGCUGGGCGACACAGGGAAACCCUGUCUUGAAAAUGGGAAAGGAGGUGUUGGGUGCUGGGGAAGCCUGGCUUCCAGAAGGCUGCCCGUGCAUCAGAGAGUUAACUGGAGGUGGUAGUGUCAUUGUGAGAGGGAGAUGACUGCAUCUCAGGGACACCAGAAGCUCUGUGUCCACCCAGGGAGUGUACAACUGGACAAGAGCUGGGGGUGAUUCUUCUGCACCCUGCUCUGAGAGCCGCAGCUGGGUGGGGGAAGGGGUAGGUACAGGGAAGUGGUUCUGGCCAGGAUGGAGGUUUGGACAUGUGCCAGGCUGCUUCCUUCCUGGACGGAGGUGACAGGCUGAGGUGACCAAGGCUGAGGGUGAGAGAAGAAGGAAAGAAGGAGCUAUGGAAACCUCCAUGGCUGUAGUGGCUUUCCCUUGUAAAACCAGCACUUGAGUGGCUGACCCUGAGGACCGUACAUAGCAGGUCAACCUGGGCUCUGUAUUGAGACAGACCCUGUGACAGCCUGGGAAGUGUGUAUGGGCCUGUGGGGUGAGAGGGUCUGGGUCAGUCCAGGCUCAGGCUGGAAUAGCCCAGGGACUUGGAUGUUAAUAACCAAGCCCAGGAUGAGGACAAGAGCGGAGCCUGGAGGAGGGACAGUGGAGGGAGGAGGAGUCAAGAAGAAGGAGAAUGGAGCAUGGAGGAGGAGAGAGAGGAGCCUUGGGGCAGGAGAUGGAGGGAUAUUGCCAAGAGAAUAAAGAGAGGAGCCACGGACCGGGAGAAAAUGUUUGCAUGACAAAUAUCUGGCUCCAGUCAAAUUUGAGGAUUGCUGUGUUGACUGAAGGCAGCCCUGGGCUCUUCUACCCCAUCACAGACAGAGUCACCGGGGACUUGGCGAGCCACCAGGAUACUCCCUACCUCCCACUCUCCCAGGUCAUGGGAGACCCCUUGGGACACGCGUGCGUCUCUGGGACCUGAUUCCGCUGCUGCGGCACACCUAGAUUGUGACUCAUACUUCUCCUACGUAUCCCUUGAGUCUUGAGUGCUUAAGACUACUCUAUCAAUAGAACAUGCUGGAAACAACUCUUAAAGGUGAAGAAGCUACUCAAGGGAGACACCAUCUACCUGGUUCUACUUGACAGAUACCCACCCAUAGAUCCCAGCCACCAUGUCGUGAGGAAACUCAACUGAGUGUGCAUCGGAACACCUUGCUGGAGGAGCCUCGAGGCUCCCAGGUGCUUACCACCAACACUGGAUUCCUGAAUGAAACCUGUGAAUUCACUGACAGCAUUUGUGUCGACCACGGAGAUCUCGGUUACCACCAUGCAGGACUGGCUGUGUUUUGUCCCCAAUGUGCCCUGUCCAGACUCCAGACUCACGGACCACGUGAGCAUUAAAAUAUUUCUCUGCA